GAUGAACGCUGGCGGCGUGCCUAAUACAUGCAAGUCGAGCGAACAGACGAGGAGCUUGCUCCUCUGACGUUAGCGGCGGACGGGUGAGUAACACGUGGAUAACCUACCUAUAAGACUGGGAUAACUUCGGGAAACCGGAGCUAAUACCGGAUAAUAUAUUGAACCGCAUGGUUCAAUAGUGAAAGACGGUUUUGCUGUCACUUAUAGAUGGAUCCGCGCCGCAUUAGCUAGUUGGUAAGGUAACGGCUUACCAAGGCAACGAUGCGUAGCCGACCUGAGAGGGGGAUCGGCCACACUGGAACGGAGACACGGUCCAGACUCCAACGGGAGGAAGCAGAGGGGAAUCUUCCGCAAUGGGCGAAAGCCUGACGAAGCAACGCCGCGUGAGUGAGGAAGGUCUUCGAAUCGUAAAACCCUGUUAUUAGGGAAGAACAAAUGUGUAAGUAACUAUGCACGUCUUGACGGUACCUAAUCAGAAAGCCACGGCUAACUACGU
This 496-nucleotide ribosomal RNA is filed under the name uncultured bacterium. RNAcentral describes it as "partial 16S ribosomal RNA". It matches the Rfam family "Bacterial small subunit ribosomal RNA", at positions 28 to 506 of the family's 1533-position model. The record is from RNAcentral.